Molecule: long non-coding RNA, 1274 nt
Organism: Fundulus heteroclitus (mummichog)
Lineage: Eukaryota; Metazoa; Chordata; Actinopteri; Cyprinodontiformes; Fundulidae
Exons: 4
Source: RefSeq, a predicted model, not a curated record
AAGCCUGGCCUGGCCACGUGUGGUUUUGCUGCCAAUCACGAGUGAUUUUACUUGUUUGAUGUGGUUUCAUCCAAUACUGAGUAAUGUUAUUCCAUCCAGGCCUGGCCAGCCGCGCAGUUUCGCUGCAUUCAUAUGCUAAUUAGGGCCAUUAGUACAGCUGAAAGCUCUCCACAUACGUCAUUGUCCGGUUCCGACAAUUUGUGGCACUGACAAACGGCGACAAGCGCGGGUCGCAAAUUGUCGUCAACUGUCGAAAAUGAGGGAGAUCUGCGGUCGUUUACGGGGACGAAAAUCUCACCUUUCAUGCAGUGACAUGAUUUGUAACUGCCAUUAGUCCUUGGUGUACUCACAUGUUCACAUUACGGGUCAUCUUGUUUUCCUCUUUGUGGGUGAUCACAUACAGACUAUACAUAAUCUAUGCAAUCAAGGGGUGGAAUGUUGUAUUAAUCUUUGCCAUACAGUCAAAGUGACCAGUUGCCUCUCGGACGCAGGGCCAGGAGACAAGAUGUCUGUGUAUGUAAUCCACUGUUACUGAGUGUAAGGCCGAAUGCUGCUUAAAUACUGUACGGCUGAUGAUUGUCUAGGAUACACUGUCUUUGUUUUGUCUCCUGCCAAGGCCACUGUGCAGUAUUAGGGAGAGCAGAAAGCGAGGUCGGACAGAGACAGGGGCAGACGCUAGGCUGCAGCCACGGAGUGCGAAUACUCCGUCCAUGUAAUCUCUGCUCUGUUUCUCAAUAAAGUGCUGGAACUUCAUCACUCCACCGUCUCCUUCUUCAGUAACACAGGGAUGUCAGUUAUCUGUCCAGAAUUCCCAUAACACUGCCCCAGGUCACCGAGGGGACCAACACAACAAGCACCUUACCACUGACGACUGACGACAUAACGUCAACUGUUUGAAAGAUUCAAGGACAACUUGCACCUCGGUUGGACGGGAAGGUGUGUCUCAUCAGAGCUGAUCACCACUCUUCUUAAUGAGUUGGAACCAGGAGGAGGGCGUCAGUUCGUUUACGCUUCUGCGUGAACCUCAUACCCACCAGUGAAAGACCUGGUAACCUCGCCUCGGACCCAUGCCUGAAGAAACGCUUAGAAACAAUCUUAUACCGAAGAAGAACCACGGAAAAUCCUGUUAGCCCUCCGACCUGCGCUCACCUGCCUGUCCACCCUCCAACAACCAACACUGAAAAGGAAACUGGAUUUGCACCAACAGCCCGGACUAUUGCACAGCACCUCUUCCCCGAACCAAGCCCAAGUCACAACCUCCAGAUCCCCGACCA